Molecule: transfer RNA, 77 nt
Filed under: Klebsiella pneumoniae
Lineage: Bacteria; Pseudomonadati; Pseudomonadota; Gammaproteobacteria; Enterobacterales; Enterobacteriaceae
Description: tRNA-Arg
Rfam family: tRNA
About the family: Transfer RNA (tRNA) molecules are approximately 80 nucleotides in length.
Source: RNAcentral
GCAUCCGUAGCUCAGCUGGAUAGAGUCCUCGGCUACGAACCGAGCGGUCGGAGGUUCUAAUCCUCCCGGAUGCACCA